CAGAAUGACUCUCGGCAACGGAUAUCUAGGCUCUUGCAUCGAUGAAGAACGUAGCGAAAUGCGAUACUUGGUGUGAAUUGCAGAAUCCCGUGAACCAUCGAGUCUUUGAACGCAAGUUGCGCCCGAUGCCAUUAGGUUGAGGGCACGUCUGCCUGGGUGUCACAU
Molecule: ribosomal RNA, 165 nt
Filed under: Ononis cristata subsp. cristata
Lineage: Eukaryota; Viridiplantae; Streptophyta; Magnoliopsida; Fabales; Fabaceae
Description: 5.8S ribosomal RNA
Rfam family: 5.8S ribosomal RNA
About the family: 5.8S ribosomal RNA (5.8S rRNA) is a component of the large subunit of the eukaryotic ribosome. It is transcribed by RNA polymerase I as part of the 45S precursor that also contains 18S and 28S rRNA.
Source: RNAcentral